Long non-coding RNA from Alexandromys fortis (reed vole), 2087 nucleotides. RefSeq lists it as uncharacterized. The record is from RefSeq and is a predicted model, not a curated record. Lineage: Eukaryota; Metazoa; Chordata; Mammalia; Rodentia; Cricetidae. The transcript has 2 exons.
UUUAUUUUGUUUUGUUUUUCUGAGGCAGGGUUUCUCUGUGUAAUAGCUCUAGCUGUCCUGGAACUUGCUCUGUAGACGAGGCUGGACUCGAACUCACUGAGAUCUGCCUGCCUCUGCCUCCCGAGUGCUUGGAUUUAUAGGUGUGUACUACCACUAUUCUUAAAAAAAAAGAAAAGGAGCUGGGGAGAUAGCUCAAUGGUUAAGAGAAAUUGUUGCUCUUGGAGAGGACCCAGGUUUAGUUCCCAGAACCCACAAAAAUGGCUUACAAGCACCCAUAACUCCAGUUCUUCUAAGAGAUCUGGAGUCCUCUUCUGCCUUCUGUGGGCACCAGGCAUACAUGUGGUGCACACAUUCAUGCACUCAGGCACAACACUCAUAUACACGAUUUAAAACAAAGAAACCCACGCUACUUUUGAAGGAAGAAAAGAAAAUGUGAUAGUGGUCAAAACAGGGGACUAGAGCUGGUUGGGUAGGGAAGGCAGACCAAAGGCUGAAGGAAAGAGCCUCAGAAAACAGCCUCCCUCCCCCUCCCCCACCCCAACCCCCCACACAUGCAUGUGUACACUGAUUCCAAAGGGCGCUGGGCUCCAAGUCCCUGUGACGUGGGCCCUGGAUGCAGUCCUGCCAUUCAAUACCCAGCCUUAUAGAGAGUCCAGGUGAAUCAGUGGGGAGCAGCCUGGUUCCAGGCGGCUCUGUGGGAGUGGCAGUUAAGUUACUUGACCUGCCAAGGCUUUCGAGGACAAGGCAGAGAAUGGAACCCUCCACUUUCUGCUAAUGCUUUGACCCCAGAUAACGACCGGACAUGGAGCAGCAAUGCAGGUGGAUAAGAGGAACCUGGAGCUGGGAGAGGGUGGGGAGCUGGGGGAGGGGGACUACAAGGACUACGGCCUCCAGAAUAGAGACAACCAGGGGUGGGCAGGGCAAAGCUGGGGCCAAACAGAGAGGGAGAGAAGGCCAGAGCAGCCACACCUGAGGCUCCGGCAGGGACAAUGCUGAAACAGUAUCAUUUCCUGUCAUUUACAGGAGUCUAGGAAAGGGAAGUCAAAGUCUUCACAUGGCACGCAUGACCAAAGUCCCUGUUCCUUCUCCUCUUUCUACAAGAUCCCCUCCUCCCUCAUGCCUUUGAUCCCAGCACUCAGAGGCAAGUGGAUCUCUGUGAGUUCAAGGCCAGCCUGGUCCACAGAGUGGGUUCCCUGAAGGUGGGGAAAAAAGACCCCCCCCCUUCUCCUCUGGCUCCUAAGGAUAGAAAUCGUGAUGAAUGGAAAAAUAGGAACCAAUUCCAAAUCUUAUUCCACAACGCAACAAGACAGGGUCGCUUUUGGUUCUCAGCUCUGAUGAUUGGAUGGGCAGAGGAACUGCAGAUGAGAAAAGUGGGGUUCCACUCAGACAUUCCCCAGUUUCUCUUUACUGAAGCCAGGAGGGUUCCCUCUACCCCUCUCACUAUGAAUAAAGAAGACUACCCAAGGCUCUGAAAUUCUGGAAGAACUGGUCCUGGUCUCAUCCUCCUCCACCACCAGGGCAGUGAUGGGGAGGAGGGUGGCAGAGGUUACAUCACAGAUGGGUGGAGACUGAAGGAGAGCCUUCUUGAUGACGUGGAGCAAUGACAAGUUUGGCAUGGCUCUCUGUGCCCUCCCCUCCACUCUAGGGCCUCCCAAAAGCUAGACAGUGCCUCUGGGGCUUGCAUUAGCUCCUUGCCCAUUUCAUGGGGCCCCAUCCGGCUCUGCAGACAUUGUUUUAUAUAACAAGUAUUUAUUGGGUACCUGUCUGCCUGCUCCAAGUGGGAUACUGGGCUUGACCUCAAGGAUACAAAAAUGAGCAAAACUCGACCCUGGCCACAAGGAGUUCACGGUCUAUUCAGGGAGGCAGAUACACAUAAUAGAGUACACUAUGGAGCAAAGGGAGUGGGGAUAAUCCUGGCAGAGACAGGAUAAAGCAAGAGGUCACAAAAGAAAUGGUGUCUUUGCACAGGGGCCUAAGGGAUGCAUAGAAGUUCUCUCGGAGAUGGUAGAGGAAGCGUCAAGGCAGAGAAAAUAACUAAGACAAACAAGUAUGAAAGGCCCAGUGCAGAGGCCCUGGGGUACGGUGCA